GACGCUUGUGCCAGGCCAUGCACGUACGUGCACACGCACACACGCACGCACGCGUACACAAAUAAACACCCCGCAUACCCUCAACAGAGUGUCGGAGCAAGUGAUGUUAGCGAGCAACUACGAAGGCCGUGGCACGGAUGCUACCCCCCAAAACCCUGACGCGUGGACUCUCACGGGCUGAUUCCAAGACGACAGUUUUAUCAGGUAAUGUUAAUUUAAGGUCGUAUUUAUUUCCGUUUCCCACCUCCCACAACCCCCCCACCCCCCAGUGCAAGGCCGUGGAUUUUAUUGAGUGCGAGUGGUUAAAAUGUGCCCCUUGUAUGUUCAUACGCAAUUUAGACAGUGUAUGUGAAUAAAUACAAUGUUGCUUCACCUACAAGUAUUCCCCCUCCUAUAUUGGCAUAUGCACUUCAUGAUAAUUCUGGACACUGUGCCAUUUGGACACUGUAGCCACAAAUAAAUAUCUAAAUAACUGGGAGCCGUGACCUGAAAAAAAAAACGUCAUGCCACACGCGAUAGUGUGCCAUCAUUAGGUGCUGCUUAUAUGAUCUGCCCUCAAAUUUGAUUCCAUGAAGCUGUCGCUCGGAGCAAGGGAAGGCAUUCGCAUGGUACUCUGUAGUUACCUUAAACAAGAGUUAAAAUAAAUGAAAUGUAAUAAACGCACUACAAAACAGUGAACAAAGUUUUCUCCAAAGAAAGUUAAUGUCCGGGCUGGGAAUGUUAUUUCAGGAGCUAGUGCACAGUGCCUGGGGGCGUGCGAAUGAAAAUGAGCGGUUAAAUUUUGGACAGAGUAAAGUUCAUUCAUCUGGUUCCUGCUGUGCUGAGCGUGUCGACUGAGCAGGGAAUCCACACCUGCGUUAAUUUAAACGAAACUCCGAGUGUUAAACUAAUUUGGCCAAUCUCAGACGAGGCAACCCACUUGGCACGCUCGAACACGCUCGGAACGAUAAAAGUAUUCGCGGGAAAAAUAACCCCAAACGUCUCCGGCAGCCAAUGACAUGCCGUGGCUUUGGUAGGUCGCUCUUUGAACAUAUGACGCGUCCACUUUAAUGUGACCGCUCCGUGCGAAUGCGCGCAUCUCUGAUGGAAAAUAAUUAAGUCACCUUGAGUCCACACACGUUUCAAUAAUUCAUACGCAACCUCGAGUCAUUAAGUGUGCAAUGGACACAAAUGUUUUUUUUUUACAGACUGUGUACGCACGGUACCAGUGUAUUUUGACAGCAAAGAGGCGAGCUGCACGGCCAAUGUAGUGGACACGCUCUUUCCCCCUGGUUUUCAUCACUCCUCCUCAUCUCAAGCUAAACACGUACACAUCUGCCAGCGAGACACGUGUGGCCUUCUACAGAGGAAGUAAUAGACAGGCGCUGACAGUCGGGAUUCAAUGAGUGCCCGCGGGGCCGAAGGCCCGAGUGAAGUGACAGGGUGUGCGUACAACAGUCCAUGCAGUGUCUCGUACCUCAACGGCUCUGCCAGCUAAAUUAGUGCCACUUCAAAUAAAACAAUCUUUUCUAUGAAGCUUGCAUUUGUACGCCUAGUUUGGAAAACACGAGUUGUGGUAGUUUGCCCAGAUGUGAUGGUGCCAUUCGAUGGUAAUCAUGAAUCCCGAGGGAUUUCUGCUUGCGGCAUCUGUUAGCAGUUAUGGAAUGUCGCAAUGAUUGAACGGGACUGAAACACAGUUAAAUUCUAUAAAGGAGCUAUGUGCACGAACCAUAGGCGAAAAAUUGAUAAAUCUGAACAAUUUGAACUUGCAAUAUCAUGUUAAUGUGCAAUUUAUAUUUUUGAAGUGAUGCGGUAUUGAAUAUUUGUUUUUCUGUUAAAUGUUGUAUCAUUUACGGUGCCUUAUCCUGGCAUUGAGCUCAGACAGAAUUUUAAUAACACAAAAGACGGAAUGCGCAUUACAAAUGUCCACGAAGCUCACUUUCAUAUAAUUCAAUUUUCCUAUUAUUGCAUGAAACAUGUUUAUCACAUUCAUGGCGUGCGUGUCCUCCACUCAAUCGGAUUACAUUCUGAAGACAAUGGCUCCUUCACCUUGGGUAGCUGGCAGCUUGGUGCACGAUUGUUAACCAAAUGCAGUGAAGCACACACCAUAUGCCAAGCCCAGAGCCAUUUGGGACAUUAAACAUGAACCAUACAUAUUAAAAAAAAAAAUUAAAACCCAACAAAUAUUCCGGUUGCCUGCACGGUAAAUUUUGAACAUUAAGUGUGUUAUGUGACCUGUGUGUUGCAGUGUCCUUCUCACUGUGUAACCUCCAAGGUGUGACGUCGCUUAAAGUGGCAGCACGAAGACGGGGCAGGAAGGUCGACUUACUUUCAAAGGCUUUAUCAAGUAUUAAGGAAUCAAGGAAACAAAAUAGAUCGUUUUACGUACGUUGAACUUCUUUUGCGUCGUACGUUGCGAACCAUGCUAAUCGGAGGUGCGGGGGAAGGACAAACUAAACAAGCAGUUCUCAAGAAAUUCAUUUUCAAAUGUAUUUCUAACAAAAAAAAACACGUGCGAUAUUUUCACCUACCCUAUCUCCCAAUAUAUCAUGUUACUUUUACAAGGCUGCAAAUAUAUAGCUUGACAACCAAGCAAAGGAACCAAGUAUUCACUGACAUCAGUACUAUACAUAAACAACUUGUGAAGAGUAUUGUACCAUGUCUAAGUCUAUAAUUAUCCACAUUUUGCCUUUGUUUUUUAACGUCUCCAUUUGGCACUGAAUCUGAUGCACUUACACCCAAGUCUUCAAUUAUAUGAUCCUUAUGGUGGUUCCCCGGGGUUCUAAAUAAAACUAAAUGGCAGAAGGAUUUUUUUUGUUCCUGGGUAGUGUUAUUUCCCAAUUGCUUAUGCCUCAAAAGUACAGAAAAUGGCUAUUAUUCCCCACAAACUUUGCUUUUGUGACCAGGACAGUGAUAUUUUGAAAUGUACAUAUUUUCAAUGAGAAAACGUGGUGUGCAUUUGUGUCAUUCCUUCACUAAAGUCCUGGUGACAAAAGCAAAGUUUGUGGAGAAUAAUAAUAACCAUUUUCUACACUUUUGAGGCAAAAGUAAUAAGAAAAUAACACUCGCUACCCAGGAACAAAAGUCGUGUUCCAUAGUGAUAUUUUAUUUCUGGGACACUAUUUUUUCCAGGGGUGUACUUAACUACGUGACUGGGGUACGAAUCAAUCCAAAAUCGGUGCUACACUCCGCGAUGUUGAAACUCAGCGAGGACGAUUGCGCUGAAACCCUGAACGCUCGUGCGCACCGUAGCGGUGCAUCGUGAGUACAGCUCGUCGAGAUGAGUCGAUUGCCGAAUCGCUGGCCAUCAACAGACUAAAAAUGACUGCAUCACGGACAUUGUGUGAGAGCCGGGGUAGCUAUGGUACCCCGGGGUACUGCCAUCAGGUUCAUGUCCAAUACACUUUUGUAUCGCAUUUCGUCUCAACCAUUCUAAUGCACUGCUGCGGUCUAGCCCAAGGGGACAACUCCCAGUGGCAAGAUGCCCCUCUGCAGCACAAGGUGUAAGCAGCACAGGCCAAAGCAUGGGCAUUAGUCUACCAGUAGGGGACAAGGCUGCCAUAGAUUAUCCAAUUACGUACGUACAUCUUUGAGUAAGUAAUCAAAUUUGGACGACACCGCUACAUAUGGGCCUAUUCUUUUUCGAUAUAACGUACGAGGAUCCGUAACGUCUGCUGUGAAGCAGACAUGUAUUUUAUGAUUUAUAACACCUGCGGUAUUAUUAACCAGGGUGGCCACUGGUCUCGAACCAAUAACCACGCCAAGCGCAUUGCUGAAGAUGUAACCCAAGAAAGUUAUAACAGUAAUUUUGCCAAGGGUGUAUGCGUUUUUGAGCCGUUCAACACACGAUUGUCUCUUUGCUCGUGAGAUAUGGAAGAACAUACAGUGAUAACACAUCUUACAGUGAGGG
Petromyzon marinus (sea lamprey) is the source of this 3889-nucleotide non-coding RNA. Lineage: Eukaryota; Metazoa; Chordata; Hyperoartia; Petromyzontiformes; Petromyzontidae. The record is from RefSeq and is a predicted model, not a curated record.